GACGAACGCUGGCGGCGUGCUUAACACAUGCAAGUCGAACGGUGAAGCGCCUUCCUUUUUGGUGGGUGUGGAUGAGUGGCGAACGAGUGAGUAACACGUGAGUAACCUGCCCCCUUCUUCUGGAUAACCGCAUGAAAGUGUGGCUAAUACGGGAUAUUCUGGGUCUGUCGCAUGAUGGGUCUGGGAAAGAUAUUGUUUCGGUGGGGGAUGGGCUCGCGGCCUAUCAGCUUGUUGGUGGGGUGAUGGCCUACCAAGGCGGUGACGGGUAGCCGGCCUGAGAGGGUGGACGGUCACACUGGGACUGAGACACGGCCCAGACUCCUACGGGAGGCAGCAGUGGGGAAUAUUGCACAAUGGGCGCAAGCCUGAUGCAGCGACGCCGCGUGAGGGAUGGAGGCCUUCGGGCUGUGAACCUCUUUCGCCAGUGAAGCAGGCCUGCCUCGUUUGUGGGUGGGUUGACGGUAGCUGGAUAAGAAGCGCCGGCUAACUACGUG
RNAcentral lists this ribosomal RNA (494 nucleotides) under uncultured bacterium. RNAcentral's name for it is "partial 16S ribosomal RNA". It matches the Rfam family "Bacterial small subunit ribosomal RNA", at positions 28 to 507 of the family's 1533-position model. The record is from RNAcentral.